UACGGGGGGGGCAAGCGUUGCUCGGAAUUACUGGGCGUAAAGCGCACGUAGGCGGAUCUUUAAGUCAGGGGUGAAAUCCUGGAGCUCAACUCCAGAACUGCCUUUGAUACUGAGGACCUUGAGUUCGGGAGAGGUGAGUGGAACUGCGAGUGUAGAGGUGAAAUUCGUAGAUAUUCGCAAGAACACCAGUGGCGAAGGCGGCUCACUGGCCCGAUACUGACGCUGAGGUGCGAAAGCGUGGGGAGCAA
This 248-nucleotide ribosomal RNA is filed under the name uncultured bacterium. Its description in RNAcentral is "partial 16S ribosomal RNA". It matches the Rfam family "Bacterial small subunit ribosomal RNA", at positions 524 to 771 of the family's 1533-position model. The record is from RNAcentral.